AAUAGAUACCCUGGUAGUCCACGCCGUAAACGAUGAGUGCUAAGUGUUAGAGGGUUUCCGCCCUUUAGUGCUGCAGCAAACGCAUUAAGCACUCCGCCUGGGGAGUACGGUCGCAAGACUGAAACUCAAAGGAAUUGACGGGGGCCCGCACAAGCGGUGGAGCAUGUGGUUUAAUUCGAAGCAACGCGAAGAACCUUACCAGGUCUUGACAUCCUUAUGCCAUCCCUAGAGAUAGGGCUUUCCCUUCGGGGACAUAAGUGACAGGUGGUGCAUGGUUGUCGUCAGCUCGUGUCGUGAGAUGUUGGGUUAAGUCCCGCAACGAGCGCAACCCUUGAUCUUAGUUGCCAGCAUUCAGUUGGGCACUCUAAGGUGACUGCCGGUGACAAACCGGAGGAAGGUGGGGAUGACGUCAAAUCAUCAUGCCCCUUAUGACCUGGGCUACACACGUGCUACAAUGGAUGGUACAAAGGGCAGCAAAACCGCGAGGUUAAGCAAAUCCCAUAAAACCAUUCUCAGUUCGGAUUGCAGG
This 529-nucleotide ribosomal RNA is filed under the name uncultured bacterium. RNAcentral's name for it is "bacterial SSU rRNA". It matches the Rfam family "Bacterial small subunit ribosomal RNA", at positions 777 to 1304 of the family's 1533-position model. The record is from RNAcentral.